UAUCACUAUCUCUUCUUGGAGGGCCUCGGAUGUGUCUGGCCACUUCCUGCCAGGGCCAUUCCCUGAUGCUGCCAACCUUUCCCAGAAAAGGAGUGGCUCCUAGAAAGACAAGGCCUACCGAGAAAUGCAGAGGGGCAGGAAGUGAGCCAUUUCGAGGGCACUCCUGUGUCACCCUGUGCUGUUGGAGUCGCCGAGGAUACAGUGUACAGGUAGCGGGAUAGCCGGUUGCCAGCACAGGCUGGGUUGAGAAACCUCCAAGCAUUGCUGCCUGCUACUUCUCUCCCCAAGCCCGGCGCUCAUUCCUCCACACAUGUAGUAGCCCUGUGUUCCUUUUCUCCCAACUAAAGGCAAUUCAAGAUAAAUAAAUAUGUUGAUCUUGCCUGGGGGGCUCAACUAGUACGUUUGUCAGCACUGGGACCGGGGUUUAACCAUGACUAGCUACUUCAUUUGUCACAGGGGUGUAUUUAUCUGUGUUUGGAAGAUUUAAUUUUUCCCCCACGAAGAACUGUAUAAAUAGGUCUAAUGAGCCUUGA
RNAcentral lists this long non-coding RNA (533 nucleotides) under Homo sapiens (human). Its description in RNAcentral is "HSALNT0298192". The record is from RNAcentral. Lineage: Eukaryota; Metazoa; Chordata; Mammalia; Primates; Hominidae.